RNAcentral lists this ribosomal RNA (466 nucleotides) under uncultured bacterium. RNAcentral describes it as "partial 16S ribosomal RNA". It matches the Rfam family "Bacterial small subunit ribosomal RNA", at positions 28 to 505 of the family's 1533-position model. The record is from RNAcentral.
GACGAACGCUGGCGGCGUGCUUAACACAUGCAAGUCGAACGGAAAGGCCCUGCUUUUGUGGGGUGCUCGAGUGGCGAACGGGUGAGUAACACGUGAGUAACCUGCCCUUGACUUUGGGAUAACUUCAGGAAACUGGGGCUAAUACCGGAUAGGAGCUCCUGCUGCAUGGUGGGGGUUGGAAAGUUUCGGCGGUUGGGGAUGGACUCGCGGCUUAUCAGCUUGUUGGUGGGGUAGUGGCUUACCAAGGCUUUGACGGGUAGCCGGCCUGAGAGGGUGACCGGCCACAUUGGGACUGAGAUACGGCCCAGACUCCUACGGGAGGCAGCAGUGGGGAAUAUUGCACAAUGGGCGGAAGCCUGAUGCAGCAACGCCGCGUGCGGGAUGACGGCCUUCGGGGUGUAAACCGCUUUCGCCUGUGACGAAGCGUGAGUGACGGGAAUGGGUAAAGAAGCACCGGCUAACUACG